UCUCUAUCAGAGUUGUGUUGGGUCUCUGUCUAUCAGAGUUGUGUUGUGUCUCUGUCAAGUCCAAGUAUCUCUCUCCCUGUAGUUCGUACCUGUGUGGGUUAGGAAUAGUUUUGUUGUGUUUCUGUGUCUCUGUCAAGUCUAAGUAUCUCUCUCCCUGUAGUUCGUAGCUGUGUGGGUCUCCAGGUGUUGGAGUUGGAGCGUGUUACUGAGUUGGGCCAGGAGGGGGCAGCAGAGCUGUGUAUAGAAGGACUACAGAAUCUAGAGACUCUACUACUCACCUCUACUCCAGUUACACCUGAAGCACUGCUGCACUUUAACAGUGCAUGUUGUAACCUCAGGUCCAUCAUAGUGCAGAUCGGCAUAGCUGACCACUUUGAGGAGCCAGACAGUCCUGAAGCUAAGAGACAGUACAAUGAGAUGGUCAACACGUUACAGGCCCUAAAGAAGAGACCAGGUCUGUCUGAAGUGUUGCAGAUCAAAGCUGACGUUUUCGUUUGACCUCCUCCUCUUCCUCGUCUUCUUCAUCCUCCUCCUACAUCUCACUGACCUGUCAGUCACACAGCCAAUCAGCGAGUCUGGAAGCGACCUCAACAACACAUUUGCCAACCAAUCAGAAGAUACAGCAUCCUGGAGAGAAGAAUCAAUCAGCCAAUAGGAAUCACACAGACAUGAAAGAUGACACA
Salvelinus sp. IW2-2015 is the source of this 683-nucleotide long non-coding RNA. RefSeq lists it as uncharacterized. Lineage: Eukaryota; Metazoa; Chordata; Actinopteri; Salmoniformes; Salmonidae. The record is from RefSeq and is a predicted model, not a curated record.